UUAAGCGACUAAGCGUACACGGUGGAUGCCCUGGCAGUCAGAGGCGAUGAAGGACGUGCUAAUCUGCGAUAAGCGUCGGUAAGGUGAUAUGAACCGUUAUAACCGGCGAUUUCCGAAUGGGGAAACCCAGUGUGAUUCGUCACACUAUCAUUAACUGAAUCCAUAGGUUAAUGAGGCGAACCGGGGGAACUGAAACAUCUAAGUACCCCGAGGAAAAGAAAUCAACCGAGAUUCCCCCAGUAGCGGCGAGCGAACGGGGAGCAGCCCAGAGCCUGAAUCAGUGUGUGUGUUAGUGGAAGCGUCUGGAAAGGCGCGCGAUACAGGGUGACAGCCCCGUACACAAAAAUGCACAUGCUGUGAGCUCGAUGAGUAGGGCGGGACACGUGGUAUCCUGUCUGAAUAUGGGGGGACCAUCCUCCAAGGCUAAAUACUCCUGACUGACCGAUAGUGAACCAGUACCGUGAGGGAAAGGCGAAAAGAACCCCGGCGAGGGGAGUGAAAAAGAACCUGAAACCGUGUACGUACAAGCAGUGGGAGCCUCUUUAUGGGGUGACUGCGUACCUUUUGUAUAAUGGGUCAGCGACUUAUAUUCUGUAGCAAGGUUAACCGAAUAGGGGAGCCGAAGGGAAACCGAGUCUUAACUGGGCGUUAAGUUGCAGGGUAUAGACCCGAAACCCGGUGAUCUAGCCAUGGGCAGGUUGAAGGUUGGGUAACACUAACUGGAGGACCGAACCGACUAAUGUUGAAAAAUUAGCGGAUGACUUGUGGCUGGGGGUGAAAGGCCAAUCAAACCGGGAGAUAGCUGGUUCUCCCCGAAAGCUAUUUAGGUAGCGCCUCGUGAAUUCAUCUCCGGGGGUAGAGCACUGUUUCGGCAAGGGGGUCAUCCCGACUUACCAACCCGAUGCAAACUGCGAAUACCGGAGAAUGUUAUCACGGGAGACACACGGCGGGUGCUAACGUCCGUCGUGAAGAGGGAAACAACCCAGACCGCCAGCUAAGGUCCCAAAGUCAUGGUUAAGUGGGAAACGAUGUGGGAAGGCCCAGACAGCCAGGAUGUUGGCUUAGAAGCAGCCAUCAUUUAAAGAAAGCGUAAUAGCUCACUGGUCGAGUCGGCCUGCGCGGAAGAUGUAACGGGGCUAAACCAUGCACCGAAGCUGCGGCAGCGACACUAUGUGUUGUUGGGUAGGGGAGCGUUCUGUAAGCCUGUGAAGGUGUACUGUGAGGUAUGCUGGAGGUAUCAGAAGUGCGAAUGCUGACAUAAGUAACGAUAAAGCGGGUGAAAAGCCCGCUCGCCGGAAGACCAAGGGUUCCUGUCCAACGUUAAUCGGGGCAGGGUGAGUCGACCCCUAAGGCGAGGCCGAAAGGCGUAGUCGAUGGGAAACAGGUUAAUAUUCCUGUACUUGGUGUUACUGCGAAGGGGGGACGGAGAAGGCUAUGUUGGCCGGGCGACGGUUGUCCCGGUUUAAGCGUGUAGGCUGGUUUUCCAGGCAAAUCCGGAAAAUCAAGGCUGAGGCGUGAUGACGAGGCACUACGGUGCUGAAGCAACAAAUGCCCUGCUUCCAGGAAAAGCCUCUAAGCAUCAGGUAACAUCAAAUCGUACCCCAAACCGACACAGGUGGUCAGGUAGAGAAUACCAAGGCGCUUGAGAGAACUCGGGUGAAGGAACUAGGCAAAAUGGUGCCGUAACUUCGGGAGAAGGCACGCUGAUAUGUAGGUGAAGCGACUUGCUCGUGGAGCUGAAAUCAGUCGAAGAUACCAGCUGGCUGCAACUGUUUAUUAAAAACACAGCACUGUGCAAACACGAAAGUGGACGUAUACGGUGUGACGCCUGCCCGGUGCCGGAAGGUUAAUUGAUGGGGUUAGCGGUAACGCGAAGCUCUUGAUCGAAGCCCCGGUAAACGGCGGCCGUAACUAUAACGGUCCUAAGGUAGCGAAAUUCCUUGUCGGG
Molecule: ribosomal RNA, 1948 nt
Filed under: human gut metagenome
Description: bacterial LSU rRNA
Rfam family: Bacterial large subunit ribosomal RNA
Source: RNAcentral